Molecule: ribosomal RNA, 283 nt
Filed under: uncultured bacterium
Lineage: Bacteria
Description: partial 16S ribosomal RNA
Rfam family: Bacterial small subunit ribosomal RNA
Source: RNAcentral
AACCUACGGGGCGCAGCAGUGAGGAAUAUUGGUCAAUGGGAGAGAUCCUGAACCAGCCAAGCCGCGUGAGGGAAGACGGCCCUAUGGGUUGUAAACCUCUUUUGUCGGAGAACAAAACCCGGGACGUGUCCCGGUCUGCGGGUAUCCGACGAAAAAGCAUCGGCUAACUCCGUGCCAGCAGCCGCGGUAAUACGGAGGAUGCGAGCGUUAUCCGGAUUUAUUGGGUUUAAAGGGUGCGUAGGCGGUCCGUUAAGUCAGCUGUUAAAUGGCGGGGCUCAACCCC